This 278-nucleotide ribosomal RNA is filed under the name Diptera sp. 79 LC-2017. RNAcentral's name for it is "partial 16S ribosomal RNA". The stretch from base 69 to 228 matches the Rfam family "Bacterial large subunit ribosomal RNA", at positions 2473 to 2632 of the family's 2925-position model. The record is from RNAcentral. Lineage: Eukaryota; Metazoa; Arthropoda; Insecta; Diptera.
UUAUAUUUUACAUAAAUUAUUGAAUUUUUGAUCCUUUAUUAAUGAUUAAAAAAUUAAGUUACUUUAGGGAUAACAGCGUAAUAUUUUUGGAGAGUUCUUAUUGAUAAAAAUGAUUGCGACCUCGAUGUUGGAUUAAGAUAUAAUUUUAGGUGUAGAAGCUUAAAUUUUAAGUCUGUUCGACUUUUAAAUUCUUACAUGAUCUGAGUUCAAACCGGUGUGAGCCAGGUUGGUUUCUAUCUUUAUUAAAUUAAAAUAUUUUAGUACGAAAGGAGUAAGUA